AAAAACGAACAGGCCGAGCUGCACUUAAGUGCAACUCCGGUCACAGUGGUAGUAUAUGCAUUUCUACUUCGCAUGUCGUAAAUAAUAAUCCUUUCGGAUAACCAGGGGACUUGGAACUUUGGAUAACGAACCGGGCUAACUAAUUACGCCGGUUAAUUUUCAACGAUUGAAACAAUCGCGGUUAAUUAGUAGCAAUCAAAACCAAACAAAAGAGAGAAAAUAAAGUUGAAAUUGGCGACCGUGACAGGACGAUACUAAAAUUCGCAAAUUCCGGUUGCGAUUUCCGCGUGUCGUGUUUACGAAAGGAUAGCGUGCGGAAUUUAAAGAAAAAAUUACAUUAAAGGCUGCGAAGGCCGAAAGACAUCACGAGUUAUUGUUCUGCGGGGAUAGCAGAAUAAGAAUAAUAAAUGAAUAAGGUGUUCAUGAACUGAAGUAGAACGCAUAAUUGUUAUUUCAGGAGCACGUAAUAUAUAAUUAUGAAUAAACAAAAUCGCUAACGAUCGGUAUUGGUGUGGAGUCAGAUGUUUCUAUAUUAGAUAGCAAAUGUAAAACGAAGCUAGAAAUGAAGGGAAGGUUUUGCUAAGAAUAAGAAAGAGAUAAAACAAAUCCUGUUCUAGCAUAAUUGUUCCAUUUUUAAUAAUAUUGAGCAUUAAGAUUUAACCGUAGAUCGAAGUGAGUGCAAUUUAGGCAAAAAAGGAAAAUAGAAAUAAGCGGUUCUAGAGAAUAUAAGGCCGCAAAGAAUGUUUACGCAAAAGUAGUAAAGGGAUGUGGCAAAACAAAUUGUUGUAAACAAACAAAUGUCAAAGGCAUCCACUAAGGCGAAUAAACAUAAGAUCUUUGCAAAUGAAAGGUUUUUAAACGUAUUUCAUUCAAAAUUAGCGCUUAAAAAUAAUUAAUGCAAAAUUUAAGUAAACAACCAAAAGAAAACAAAUACCACAAUAGUGGAAAUAUUAAGGAAAAAUUCUGGUAGUAGAGGUCAGCUGGGACCAGGAACUAACAGGAUAAGUAAAAAUUUGUGAUUAAAAACCCAAUAAUAAAAAUUUUUUGUUGUUGUUUAGACAAUUUGUUGAAACCUUAAGUUAAAAAAGACAAUAUUGAAAUUUCGAAGUUAGACAUCAGAAGAAAGCCGAUAAAAGGAAAAAUUGCCUUUAAGGAGGAACUUUAUGGAAUGCAAUAAUAAUAAACAAAAGGUAAAAGAUAAAAUUAAGAGCUGAAAAUCAGUGGUGUAAUUUACGGGAACAUAACGAAGCACGUAAAUACCGAAAUAUUGAUAAAGGUUUGAGUAGAAGAAUUUAAAUAAAUAAAUAAACAGAAAAUUUGUUUUAGUUAUAAGUGAAACAACAAAUCACUCCAAAAUAGAGCAAAAGAUAGUCAGCUGAUAGUGAUUGCGGAAGUUAGUAGACAAAUAAAAGAGGGAGAAAAAAUUUAUUAAAGAGGAUUUGUUGACUAAAUUGACUAUUGAAACGUCAGGAAAGAGCAGCGAUAAAAAAGUUUUCGAUAAAACUGCCCUUUGUUCAAACAGUUCCGAGUUGCUAAUCACGACAAGCAAAUAUCAAGUGUCUAAGAUUCGGAAAGGAGCGUAUGCAUAGGGUGACUCGGGUAAAAGGGAUCAUCUGGUGGCGUGAGGCCGGAGCUAGAUAUUAUCGCGUGAAUGCAAAGCAAAUGUAGAUUUUUGGCAUGUAUUGACGCUGUAAAGAUAAAACAAAUUCAGAAAUAGAAAACUAUUUGAAUAAAUAACUAGUUCUUGCGGUUAGAGCGGGGCUUGUAAUUAAGAAUAGUGCGUACGAAACGUUAGUUGAACAAAAGCGAAAUCGUAGUAACCAAGCGUUCACAGAGAUCUCGGGUGCUAACUGAGAGUUAUGCCCUUUGAGACAAAGCGGGUAAUGAGAAGACGGAACGUUGGAAAAUCUCAAGAAAUAGUCACAUCUGAAGCAUCAGCAGACACGCAGGAGUCGGUGCAAGCAGACACAACAUCAGAAGAGGAAAUGUCACUGGUACGCACACCGCCAGCUAACGCAAGCCAGGUGACACUGACCGGAAACACAAUGGCAGAGCAAAACACGAAGCAAGUCGAGGAAUUGCGCAAAGAAAUAGGCGAAAUGAGAGUAUGGAUCGAAGAGCUUCGACGACAAAAUGAGGAAUUGAGGCGAGAACAGGGAGUAUCACCGCGAACGCAGAAGGACCCUGGCACACAAACACUUCCUGGAUUAAGAUUACCGCGAGGAGAGUGGCUCACUAACCCAUUCCAGGAGCUGAAAUAUAAAGGAAGAAAAGAUGAGAUAAAUCCAGUCAGAUUUAUUUGUAGAUUCGAGAGGAUUGCGGAAAGAGAGGCCGGGACAAGAUCGAUUGUAUUAUUUCGGUACAUGUCUCAAGGAGGAGACAGCGGCCUGAAUGGACAAUCGAGACUUCAACGACUACGAAGAAGCUAAAACAGCAUUUUUGGAGUAUUUCUGGGAUAAUGUAACACAACAACAGAUUCGAUAUACACGAUAAAAUAUACACUGGAAAAUAUAACCCAGCCAAGGACGGAUCAUUGGUGGAAUACGUGUUAAAGCAUGCACGCCAAGCAAAAGUAUUUACGUCUCCAAUGGAUGAGCAAGAAAUCGUCACAAGUUUAGCGAGACAUUUCGAUGACUCGAUAGCAAGAGAGUUAAGACCAGCAUGGGUCAAAUCCGUGGAGCAAAUAACGGAAAUUUUGCAUCAUAUAGAAACGGAGAAGAAAAUUCGCAAGGAUGCUAAGAAGCGAACGGAAACCGAAGCGACGGAUAGGAAGAAAGACGAUUUGAAAAGAAAUGAAAAUAGAAAGCAUUUAGCCGUAACGACAGGUUAAGGCGAGGACUAUGCGGAAAAGAAACGAAACAUCAGAUAUUACAGUGAAUCAUAUCGUAGGGAAGAAGAUAUAAAUCGCAAAAGAGAGUCCGAUAUCAUCGAAAUCGCAGAGCGGACGGAGGAAGUGAUGAAGCGUCAAGCGGUGACGAAGCCGUAAACAAAUCAACACUCAAAAGGAAGGAAGUGAAGGACAAUUCUACAAAGGAUAAAACUUCUGAGAAGAAGGGGUUAGACCGGCGAAGUCGCACAAAAGUUGCAGCUAUACAAUUAGAAGAAAAGUCCGAGGCAUCAGAUAUAUCGGAUGAUCAAAUAAGCAUUUCAAUUGUUCGAACUGAAGAGAUAAUACGAGAUGUGGACGAAUGGUGCACGGAACAACAACAAAUCUCGAAAAAACCGGAUUUAUUCGUGGAAGUGAAAAUUGGACCAUGUCUAAUACGAGCACUUAUAGACACAGGAGCACAAAUCUUGAUGAUAGCUCAGGAUUUAUGCGAGGAAUUACGCGGAAAAGGAGCCUUAAUGACGGAGAUACCAAUUACGAAAUUUCCAGUGCGAUGAGCUUUUUCGGAUAAAGGAGAAAGAAUUGCAUACAAAAUGUUUACGGAAAUAGAAAUAGAAGGUAAGAAAUGUAGUGGCAAAUUUUAUAUCGCAAAAAGAUUACUCUAUAGGAUGCUACUAGGAAUUGAAUUUUUAACGGCACAUCGAGCAAUUAUAGAUUGCGCAACGAAUCGCAUAACACUACAGUUGAAUGAAGCUGUAAAUGUAAUGUCAGUUAAGGAAUUGAGUUUCCAGGACGCACUGCAAAACCUGGAAGAACUGAUAACUGAAUACAACGAACUGUUCACGCAGGAAAUCGGGUGCGUGAAGCAUUACAAACAUAAAAUGGAAAUGACGACUAACGCGUUUAAAUCCAAAAUUUACCCGAUUCCGGAGAUACACCGAGACAAAGUGCUGAAACACGUUGCAGAACUGGAGACCGCGGGAAUCAUAGAGAAGGCAGCUACGCAGUAUAUUAAUUCAUUAGUUGCUGUUGUGAAAAAGACAGGAGAAAUUAGACUUUGUCUAGACGCACGUGAACUGAACAAGCGAAUGGUCAGCGAUCACGCACAACCUCCAACAAUAGACAAAGUAUUCCGGAGAAUCGGGCAUAAAAAAUAUUUUAGUACACUGGAUGCUACCAAGGCAUUCUGGCAAAUUCCACUAGAAUCCAGCAAGAAAUAUACAGGGUUUAUGGUAGCAAAUCAAUCGUACGUUUUUCGAAGAAUGCCAUUUGGAUUAAAGACGGCCGGUGCAUCUUUUACGCAAGCCAUGAAUCUGACUAUGGAAGAGGAAGAUUCAGAAUUCUUGAUCAUAUAUUGAUAAUAUAUCUGGAUGAUAUUGUUGCGCUCGCGGCGUCGGAAACAGCUCUCACGCCGGUUUCCGCGAUCGCGCACUUGUCCGCGGAAAUGAGAGAGCGCGGUUUGCUAUUAAACUCUUUAUUGCAACAGGGAUCUCAAUUAGAAAUACAAGAAAACGGACGAGCCGUCCGAAAACGCAACGUGACAGAUCUCGCGACUCUCUAAUACAACAACACGCUGGUCGCCCGGCAACGAACAGUCGCGCCGAGCGCACGCCGUUCAGGCGGCUCCCGCGACACAUACACGGUGCCCCUCGCGUAACAAUAUAUUAAUACCCUCAAACUCAUUGGAGGAGCAUUUGGAACAUUUGAAUAUAGUGUUCAAGAAACUGCAAACAAAAGGUUUCAGAUUAAAUCAGAAUAAAUGCCGAUUCAUGAAAACGGAAAUAACGUUCCUAGGCCACACUUUCAGCGAAAUAGCGGCUGAGCUAGUGAGUGAAACAAAACAGGCAGUGAUCAAUUUUUCGAGACCGAAAAACAAAAAGGCUUUGCAGUCUUUCUUAGGGCUCGUAAAUUGGGAAAGAAGAUUCAUAAAAAACCUAGCACGAAUAACCAAACCUUUAGAGGAAUUACUCAAAAAGGACAGGAAAUUCACUUAGACAAGUAGGGAGCAGGAAGCGUUCACGGAAAUUAAAAGAGCGUUUCAGGACGCAGAAAAUUUUUGUCUCAUCAAACCAGGACUUGCGUUUGGGAUUUUCAUUGAUGCGUCAACGCAUGGAUUGGGCGCACGUCUCUACCAAUACGAUAAUGACGGUAAAAGAUACACGGUAGCAUACGCAAGCCGGAGCCUGAAGGGAGCCGAGACAAAUUUAUACAGUUACUGAACUAGAAUGUCUAGCUUUGGUAUGGAGCUUAAGGAAGUGGCACAUUUUGCUUAUGGGGCGCCAAGUGAAAGUACAUACAGACCACAAAGCAUUGAAAUUUCUCAGUUCAUGCAGACAAAAUAGCACGUGCAUCGCAAGAUGGUUUGAUUUCCUUCAGGAAUUUGAUUUGGAAAUCGAACACAUCCCAGAGAAACAAAACACAGUCGCGGACACACUAUUACGCAUGCACGCGAAAGGAUCAGCAAAUAAAUGCGAUGAGAAGGCAAAGGUCAUCGGGAUGAUUACCGAUUGUACGGAAGGAGAAGAUACAGCAGCAUGGUAUGACCUCAUCAAGCAAGCUCAACAUUACAAGAGAAUUGCGCAACAUUACAAGAGAAAAUCACACAAGACCCGGAGGUUUUCUAUGAGCGUAAUGGUUUAAUACGAUUUCGGAACGCGAACGGAAGAGAAAGAAUUACAAUUCCGGGUGAAAUAUCAUGGAAAUUGAUUAGGAAAAUACACAAGCUACUGUUACAUUUUGGAACAGAUAAGACCAAAGAUUUUGCAGAGAAAUAUUUUAUAAUACGAAACUUGGACAAGAUUACGCGAGAUGUAGUGGCAUCAUGCAUCACAUGCAUCGCGACUAAAUAUUACACCCGACUAACCGUGGGAUUUAGUUAUUAUGAAUUACUAGAAAUCUCAGAACAUACGGUUUCAAAUGAUAUUUUCGGACCAUUACCAACGGAUGGAAACGGCUAUCAAUAUAUUUUAGUACUACUCGAUCACUUCUCAAAGUUAACAAAGUUCUACCCGAUGAAAAAUCAACGGUUAGAUACGAUCAUUGAAAUCUUACAGGGACAGUACAUUCCAGAAAUAGGAAAUUUUGACGGACAAAGGAGGACAAUUCACUGCAUUUCGGUGGAUAAAUUUUGGGGUAGCGAACGGCAUCGUAAUCCGACACACGUCACCAUAUAAUCCUCAAUCAAACCCAGUAGAAAUGGUCAUGAGGGAAUUAGGCCGAGUAAUACGGGCGUACGCGUAUAGACGACAAACGCGAUGGAAAGAGAUAAUCCUCAGACUCGAGAAAGUAAUAAACGCAACGGCACAUCGCAGUACAGGAUUAAAGCCGAUUGACUUACAUGACGACAUAAACGAACCAUUGAGAAUCAAUGAGCGAUUACAACCAAGGGACAAACCAGUUUUAGAAAGACAGGAAAAGAUAGAAAUAGCGAAGGCAAAUCUGCGGAAGAGAGCAGAGGAAAGAGCGAAACAGGCAGACAAAAGGUUAACGGCACCCGUUUACCAAAUAGGGAAUCGAAUCUGGUUGCGGGUACAUAAAAGAUCGGAUAAGAGUAGGAGCGUCGCAAAAAAGAUGUUUCCAAUUUAUGAAAGAUCGUAUCAAGUCGCGGAAGUAGUUAGGCCAAACGUGUACCUAAUAAAGGAUGAAUAUGGGAACAUUAUGGGAACGUUCAAUUCUAGACAAAUAGGGCCACACAGGGAACCGCGUUUCCGAUUCAACGAAAAUCUACAGGGGACAAAUUGAAAAAUUAAAAAAUCGAGUCUUCUACAGGGAGUCGACCAGUAUCUUAAGUUACGAACACGAAACUAAUGACACUUAUGUUUACAGAUAUCGACAAACAAUGGCGGAUGAAAGAGCUUCGGCACACAAUUUCAGCGUAUAUUACGGACGUUACGUGGACUGAUGACAGAACUCAGCGAGGCACUGGAGGAGCUAAAAGAGAUACUUGACGAAGUACGGCCUCUGACGGAAGAAAGGGAAGCCCUAACGGCGCAGAUCCAACAGAUGAGAAAAAGGAUCCAACAGGCGCGGAAAUGGAAAACGAGGUUGACCAUGGCACGGAACGAGGAGGCAAAACAAUUGGGAAAGCUCAGAGCCAAAUAUGAGAAGCUGGAAUGCGAGACCAAGGAAGAAUUUGAAAGAAUUAUCGCUAGCCUGAAUUACGAGCAGUAUGAGAUCUACCAAAGGUAUAAUACCACAAAACCACGUCAAGGGGAAGACAAAAAAUUGUCACUAGAAAAGAAAAACCCAGACAAAAAAUCACAGCCAAAGGUAACGUCGAAUGUAUUGCUAUCGCCGAAGACAGGAGGAAAGAUAAGGGAAAAAUUGGCACGAACAAGCGCCAAAAGGAAAGAAUCUCAAGCAACAAAACCUUGUCGGAGGGUAGGGAUAAAAAACCGACUGGCGACCGUGAUAAAUAUUCUAUUAAAAAAAAACGGGCCGAGCUGCACUUGAGUGCAACUCCGAUCACACCAUGGAGUAGAAUUCGCGGAAGGGAAAUUAGCGUCUGCCAAUUACAAGAUUGUUUCCCAUAGAUUCUUUUGUUGUAUCCAUCUUAACAGUGUAUAUUAUUGGUUCGCACAGAUUAUUUUUCCGCGUUCUUUGCAGCAUGGGACAUAAGGGAUACAAAUUCAUGCAGAUCGAAAUGAGAUAUACACACAUACACUAUCAAAAUUCAAUAUUCGUUAACAAGUGCAUGAUCGGCGUUAAAAUGAGGUCUGAAAACUUGUGUGUUAUUAUUUAUAAUUUAAUAAACGCAUUUAAACUAAGUUUAUGUACAAUUAAAAAGCAAAAACUGCUUCGUAAAAGUGCAGAAGUAUAUAUACUGUAUAAAAUAACAAAAAAAAAAAAGAAAACACGACAAUAUAUUGGGUGCGACCUAUAUUUAGUAGAGAACGAAGAUUGCAACAAGGAGCAAGUGAAAAUCUGGUGAAAGAAAUGCUGGCCGAAGAUAUAGAAAAAUAUAUAGAUUAUUUUAGAAUGCUAUCGCAAUUAUUUGAGGUAUUAUUGACAUUAGUUGGACCAAUCAUCGUGAAAGAGAAUGUUGUUCGCGAACCUAUUUCACCUGCCACUCGACUUCAUAUUACAUUACGUUAUUUAGCAUUAGGGGACAGCAUGAAAUCCUUGUCAUAUGCCUUCAGAGUUGCACACAACACAAUCUCGAAAAUAAUAUCCGAGACUUGUACAGCUAUUUGGAAUUGUCUGAAAGAUUCAGUAUUUCUCCAGAAUAAUGAAAAGAGUUGGAAAUCUGUAGCUAACGACUUUCAACGAUUGUGGAACUUUCCCAAUUGUAUUGGGACCAUUGAUGGAAAACAUGUUCACAUCCAGGCUUCACUAAAUAGCGGAUCAAUAUAUUAUAACUACAAAGGCUAUCACAGCAUUAAUCUUCUCGGAAUCAGCGAUGUACACUAUCGCUUUACAAUAAUUGAUAUUGGUGCGGAAAAAAGAUAAAGCGAUGGAAGAAUUUUCCGCAACAGCAAAAUUGGAAAACGAAGUUAAUGCGUUCAAACUACCAAAUCCAAGACAGAUUGAAAAUAGCGGACCAGAAUACUAUAUGUACUAGUAGCGGAUGAAGCUUUUCCAUUAUCAAUGUACAUAAUGACGCCAUAUCCGCGAAGUGGAAACCUCAAUAUUGGGAAAAAAGUUUUUAAUUAUAGACUUAGCCGCGCAAGAAGACUAUAGAGAAUGCUUUCGGCAUAUUAGUGACUCGAUGGAGAAUAUAUCAAAGGCCAAUCAUUGCAAAUGUCAGCAAUGUACGCAAAAUUGUACAAGCAACUUUAGCACUACACAAUUUUAUCUUACAAAAUGAAGAGCAAUUAACUGGAAAAAAAUCAUAUUUAUAUAUAAGUACAGAAGAUGUACAUAUAUGUCGUGGUAUUCGCAAUAUUCUACUUUGUAGAAGUCGAGGUAAAAAUAAUGCUAUUGCUGUCAGAGAAGGAUAUUUGUCAUAUUUUCAAGAUACUGGUGCUUUAUCUUUCCAGUGGAAGAAAAGCGUUGCAAAACGAUUUUUAAUGUAUUUAUUUGUUCAAACAAUAUAAAUAGUACUGUAAGAUAAUGUAAAACAUAAUAGAUUUGUAAAUCGUAGAUUACACUCAUAAAUAAAUAUGGCCAAAUAUCA
Long non-coding RNA from Pseudomyrmex gracilis, 8942 nucleotides. RefSeq lists it as uncharacterized. The transcript is spliced from 2 exons. Lineage: Eukaryota; Metazoa; Arthropoda; Insecta; Hymenoptera; Formicidae. The record is from RefSeq and is a predicted model, not a curated record.